This 536-nucleotide ribosomal RNA is filed under the name Steinernema siamkayai. Its description in RNAcentral is "partial large subunit ribosomal RNA". It matches the Rfam family "Eukaryotic large subunit ribosomal RNA", at positions 124 to 690 of the family's 3401-position model. Lineage: Eukaryota; Metazoa; Nematoda; Chromadorea; Rhabditida; Steinernematidae. The record is from RNAcentral.
GGCUAACGUUGACUUGGUGUUGUGACGUAUAGAGGCGUUCAUGUGCGGUUUGUUGAUGGUGCGAAUUCUCUUUGACUAGGGAUCCAAAGAGGGUGCUAGACCCUUACGCAUUGUUGACUUUUCGUACGCGUUCGUUUCUUGGAGUAGGGUUGUUUUGGAUCGCAGCCCAAAGUAGGUGGUAUACUUCAUCUAAAGCUAAAUACGACUACGAAUCCGAUAGCAAACAAGUACCGUGAGGGAAAGUUGCAAAGUACUUUGAAGAGAGAGUUCAAGAGGACGUGAAACCGGUAGGGUGGAAGCAGAUAAAGUUGACGAACGUGUGUCGUAUUCAGAACUACAAUUUGUGGUUUGUUUUUACGAUCGAUGUGGGCUGGCGUCUUUGGUUAACUUAGUGUCUGGCGGCAAUGGUGACCCUGCGGAGGGAUAAUCGGUUGUCGUGCGAUGCUUGGUAUGGCUAGAGGUUCGCUGGUCUUAUAGUCAUCGCUUUAUCUGACCCGUCUUGAAACACGGACCAAGGAGUGCUUCGCUUACGCGAG